This 253-nucleotide ribosomal RNA is filed under the name uncultured bacterium. RNAcentral describes it as "partial 16S ribosomal RNA". It matches the Rfam family "Bacterial small subunit ribosomal RNA", at positions 524 to 776 of the family's 1533-position model. The record is from RNAcentral.
UACGUAGGGUGCGAGCGUUGUCCGGAAUUAUUGGGCGUAAAGAGCUUGUAGGCGGUUUUUCGCGUCUGCCGUGAAAAUCCGGGGCUCAACCCCGGACUUGCGGUGGGUACGGGCAGACUAGAGUGUGGUAGGGGAGACUGGAAUUCCUGGUGUAGCGGUGAAAUGCGCAGAUAUCAGGAGGAACACCGAUGGCGAAGGCAGGUCUCUGGGCCACUACUGACGCUGAGAAGCGAAAGCGUGGGGAGCGAACAGG